This 681-nucleotide ribosomal RNA is filed under the name Triticum aestivum (bread wheat). RNAcentral's name for it is "partial small subunit ribosomal RNA". Lineage: Eukaryota; Viridiplantae; Streptophyta; Magnoliopsida; Poales; Poaceae. The record is from RNAcentral.
AUGUACGGCGAAUCAGCGUCGGAGAGGAAGGGAGAGACGUGGAGGACUCUAAGGAUCUUAAAACAGCAACACCAAGAUGGUAGACCCUGGCUUUGUCUUGGAGACUUCAAUGAAAUUCUGUCAAACGAUGACAAGAAAGGAGGGGUAGACAGACCACAGCAGGCCAUGGAUAAAUUCAGAGAUGCAUUGUGUGAUUGUUCGCUGAUGGAUAUUGGUUUCGAGGGUGAUAUCUUUACGUGGCGCAACCAUGACAUUUGUGAACGGUUGGACAGAGCCACAGCAAACCGUGAAUGGUGUGAUCUAUUCCCGAGCUUCAGGGUAGUAAAUGGUUCACCUCGACACUCUGAUCAUAGGCCCGUUAUUGUUUGGACAAAGGGAGAGCAAAGGAGAGGCAGAGGAGGCGGUGAUAGUGGAUUCAGAUUUGAGGCACGUUGGUUCCAGGAGGAAGGUUGUCAAGAGUUAAUUCAGGAGGCAUGGGAGGAGAGUAGGGAGCAAGGAGGAGUGGAUGUCGCCGGAUCAAUGCGUGUUCUCGCGGGUAAACUCCGCAAAUGGGACAGGGAGGUGCUAGGGGAGUUGGAAGGAAGGCUGAAAAGAGCGAAGGCUGACUUUGAAAGGUGUAUGAGGGAGACGGUGACAGAAGAGAAGAUUAAAGAAGAGGUGGAGUUGAGGUGCCAAGUUUAG